CCUACGGGAGGCUGCAGUGGGGAAUAUUGCACAAUGGGCGGAAGCCUGAUGCAGCAACGCCGCGUGCGGGAUGACGGCCUUCGGGUUGUAAACCGCUUUCGCCUGUGACGAAGCGUGAGUGACGGUAAUGGGUAAAGAAGCACCGGCUAACUACGUGCCAGCAGCCGCGGUGAUACGUAGGGUGCGAGCGUUGUCCGGAUUUAUUGGGCGUAAAGGGCUCGUAGGUGGUUGAUCGCGUCGGAAGUGUAAUCUUGGGGCUUAACCCUGAGCGUGCUUUCGAUACGGGUUGACUUGAGGAAGGUAGGGGAGAAUGGAAUUCCUGGUGGAGCGGUGGAAUGCGCAGAUAUCAGGAGGAACACCAGUGGCGAAGGCGGUUCUCUGGGCCUUUCCUGACGCUGAGGAGCGAAAGCGUGGGGAGCGAACAGGCUUAGAUACCCCUGUAGUC
RNAcentral lists this ribosomal RNA (445 nucleotides) under uncultured organism. Its description in RNAcentral is "bacterial SSU rRNA". It matches the Rfam family "Bacterial small subunit ribosomal RNA", at positions 338 to 795 of the family's 1533-position model. The record is from RNAcentral.